UAGCUCAGUUGGUAAAGAAUCUGCCUGUAAUGCAGGAGAUCCAGGUUCGAUUCCUGG
RNAcentral lists this transfer RNA (57 nucleotides) under Bos taurus (domestic cattle). It matches the Rfam family "tRNA", at positions 8 to 63 of the family's 71-position model. From Rfam's summary of the family: Transfer RNA (tRNA) molecules are approximately 80 nucleotides in length. Their secondary structure includes four short double-helical elements and three loops (D, anti-codon, and T loops). Lineage: Eukaryota; Metazoa; Chordata; Mammalia; Artiodactyla; Bovidae. RNAcentral also lists the same sequence under 3 other names. The record is from Rfam by way of RNAcentral.